UUUGGUGUUGACAGCUGAUCCUAUUCCAUCAGUUUAUGAUCUCUUUCAGGGACAGCCUUAAGAUUUCAUUUUUGCAUUCACUGCAGCAUCACAGAUCAAGAAAACAAGGUGCAGGGAAAUUCUUUAGGGAUUAUGUGGAGCUUUGAGAAGUUGGAAGUUAAUCUUUUUAUUUUGCCCAAAGGCAGAUGACAGAGAUUCUGGAUCAAAUCACACAUUAAGAGAAAUGCAUAUUUCCAGCUAUUAUCAUGUUUUCUUUCUAGGUACGCAUUUGUUUCAAAGCACAAUCAAACUUGAAAAUGAACCCUGUCUUUACUCCAAGUGGCCUAUAUCAUAAAACAAAAGCAAGCUAAUUUGUAAAAUGUGGAAUAAGUGGAACUCAUGCUGGGACAAUCUGACAUCCUCAGUCAAUUCAGAGAUCUCUGCUACUAAUGACAUGCUACAUGUAUGUCACCUAUGAGUGUGUGUUUGGGAGAGACAGACAGACAGUUGAGAAUGGCUACGUAGAAUGUUCUCCAUCAUGGUUCACCAGUUCCAACUUUAUUGCCUUUUCAGCACCAGGGAAAUACCUUCAUCUGUUUUCAAGCUUUGCAGCUUCAUUUUUUUAAAAUCUUGCUGACCGUUUUAAACUUCUUUUAUGAUUUUAGCUUAUUACAUGUGCUUUUGUAUAACUGCAUAAUUCUCUUUUUAAAACUUCCUUGGCAAUGUCAUUGAAGGACAUUAUAAAUCCACUUCAAAAACUGCAUUUGUUGAUGAAUGUUACAACACUUCCAUUUAGACUACUGUACUUCUGUGACUGGCUUAAUGUAUUGUUUCUAUUGCAUCUAAAACUAUUGCACUCUUAAAAUAACUGUUUCAGAAGAAGUGGUUGCCAUUCAACAUUCCAAAAAGAGUGAAAUUAUAUUCCACAUCUUAAAAUAUGAAAUAACUAAUGGGACAAUCUUUUACUCAUUUGUCUGCAACUACCACCCUUUUGAUCUCAGUAGGACAUACUGCUGAAUAGAGACAUACAGUAUAGGUUUGCAUUGUAAAAUAUCAUUGUUUUCCCCCUCUACAAUGUGUUCUACUUCUGUUUAAAAGGAUCAUUUCCAAGAGAACAGUAAAAAGCAUAAAAACUACU
This 1117-nucleotide long non-coding RNA is filed under the name Pogona vitticeps (central bearded dragon). Its description in RNAcentral is "lncRNA (ENSPVIG00000018846.1)". The record is from RNAcentral. Lineage: Eukaryota; Metazoa; Chordata; Lepidosauria; Squamata; Agamidae.